GCGCGAAAACUUUACAAUGCUGGCAACAGCGAUAAGGGAACCUCGAGUGCCAGGUUACAAAUCUGGCUGUCGAGAUGCCUAAAAAGCAUUUCAUAGCAAGGGCCGGGCAAGACCGGUGCCAGCCGCCGCGGUAACACCGGCGGCUCGAGUGGUAACCGUUAUUAUUGGGUCUAAAGAGUCUGUAGCCGGCCGGAUAAGUCUCUUGAGAAAUCUGGCAGCUUAACUGUCAGGCUUUCAGGAGAUACUGUCUGGCUCGAGGCCGGGAGAGGUGGGAGGUACUUCAGGGGUAGGGGUGAAAUCUUGUAAUCCUUGAAGGACCACCAGUGGCGAAGUCGUCUCACCAGAACGGACCUGACGGCAAGGGACGAAAGCUAGGGGCACGAACCG
This 387-nucleotide ribosomal RNA is filed under the name uncultured bacterium. RNAcentral describes it as "bacterial SSU rRNA". It matches the Rfam family "Archaeal small subunit ribosomal RNA", at positions 339 to 726 of the family's 1478-position model. The record is from RNAcentral.